Molecule: long non-coding RNA, 252 nt
Organism: Gorilla gorilla gorilla (western lowland gorilla)
Lineage: Eukaryota; Metazoa; Chordata; Mammalia; Primates; Hominidae
Exons: 2
Source: RefSeq, a predicted model, not a curated record
CAUCCAUCUCUUCAUCUGGUGUUCAUCGAUAGCCUUUGUAAUGUCCUUAAUAGUAAACCGGAAAACAUGUACACCUAACAGCAUGGUAAGGAAGCCCCGGAAGGAUGUUUCUAAAGACCAUGAGGGAGUCUGAAACCUGAAAUCAUGCCAAGGACUCUCUGCUUCUCUUUCACUUGGGGUGUCUAUCUGAUGCUGCCACAACCAGUUGAAAUGUAUAACAUAAACAAUAAAAAUUAGUUUUUUUGUAACUAA